UACAGAGGGGGCAAGCGUUGUUCGGAAUUACUGGGCGUAAAGCGUGCGCAGGCGGUCUUUUAAGUCAGAUGUGAAAUCCCCGGGCUUAACCUGGGAACUGCGUUUGAAACUGAAAGGCUAGAGUGUGGCAGAGGGGGGUGGAAUUCCACGUGUAGCAGUGAAAUGCGUAGAGAUGUGGAGGAACACCGAUGGCGAAGGCAGCCCCCUGGGCUAACACUGACGCUCAUGCACGAAAGCGUGGGGAGCAAACAGG
Molecule: ribosomal RNA, 253 nt
Filed under: uncultured bacterium
Lineage: Bacteria
Description: partial 16S ribosomal RNA
Rfam family: Bacterial small subunit ribosomal RNA
Source: RNAcentral